Molecule: non-coding RNA, 24 nt
Filed under: Arabidopsis thaliana (thale cress)
Lineage: Eukaryota; Viridiplantae; Streptophyta; Magnoliopsida; Brassicales; Brassicaceae
Source: RNAcentral
AUGAAGAAACUAACCGGACUUAGC